RNAcentral lists this ribosomal RNA (460 nucleotides) under uncultured bacterium. RNAcentral's name for it is "partial 16S ribosomal RNA". It matches the Rfam family "Bacterial small subunit ribosomal RNA", at positions 338 to 795 of the family's 1533-position model. The record is from RNAcentral.
CCUACGGGUGGCUGCAGUGAGGAAUAUUGGUCAAUGGCGGUAACUCUGAACCAGCCAAGUAGCGUGAGGGAAGACUGCCCUAUGGGUUGUAAACCUCUUUUAUGCGGGGAUAAAGGUGUCCACGUGUGGAUGUUUGCAGGUACCGCAUGAAUAAGGACCGGCUAAUUCCGUGCCAGCAGCCGCGGUAAUACGGAAGGUCCGGGCGUUAUCCGGAUUUAUUGGGUUUAAGGGGAGCGUAGGCCGGCCUUUAAGCGUGCCGUGAAAUUCCGUGGCUCAACCAUGGCAGUGCGGCGCGAACUGGAGACCUUGAGGGCGCGGAAGGCAGGCGGAAUUCGUGGUGUAGCGGUGAAAUGCUUAGAUAUCACGAAGAACCCCGAUUGCGAAGGCAGCCUGCCGCAGCGUUACUGACGCUGAGGCUCGAAAGCGCGGGUAUCGAACAGGAUUAGAUACCCGUGUAGUC